RNAcentral lists this unclassified non-coding RNA (153 nucleotides) under uncultured Orbiliaceae. RNAcentral describes it as "sequence contains ITS2". The record is from RNAcentral. Lineage: Eukaryota; Fungi; Ascomycota; Orbiliomycetes; Orbiliales.
CAACCCCUCAGCUCACGCUGGUAUUGAGCCGGCCGUCCCUGACGGCCCGCUUUAAAGUGACGUGCUCUGCUGACCCCGCUCCGACCAGCGCAUAGUAAGCUUUACUUGUGUGACCCGUUGCGAAGGCCCGGCCUGAACAAAACCCAACUUGUG